UUUAUUUAUAUAUAUAUAUAUAUAUAUAUAUAUAUAUAUAUAUAUAUAUAUAUAUAUAUAUAUAUAUAUAUAUAUAUAUAUAUAUAUAUGUGUCCAGCUCCAGCUACUAGGCUCUUAUAAGCAUAGAUCAUUUUGUACUCAUAAAUUUUCGACUGUUAGAUUUACUCUUUUGACAAUUUUCACUUGUUAGAUCAUAUUAUUCAACUAACCAUCCACUCAAUCCUAAAAGACCACUAUUAACCUAAUCGGGUACCACUAUCAUGCUAACCGCACAUCUCUUCAUCCAAUGAUCGAAAACCUAUGAAUACAAUGGGGUCUAUACUUAUAAGAGUAUAGCAGUCCUAGCUAUAUAUACAAGUCAUCGAUGCAUGUAAGUUUUCGGCCCUUGGAUUAAGGAACGUACGGUUAGGAUGAUGUGGGCGCUCUAGGGUUGAGUGGGUGGUUGGUUAAAUAGUAUAAUCUAACGGAUGAAAAUGAUCAAAGAUACGAAUCUAACAGUAAAAAAAUUACAAGCACCAAGUGCUUGAUGCUUUUACAAGCACCAUAGCAGGACUCUCUCUCUCUCUCUCUCUCUCUCUAUAUAUAUAUAUAUAUCAAUAGCAAAGAGUCCUUCGUACUAUCAAGUUAUUUUCAAUAAUGUGGCUUUCGAAUCGACGAUCGACUUCGUUAGACAUAAUCUACUCUAUUAAAAAUAUUUAGAACCAAAUUUUAUAUUUUUUCUGUAUUACUUGGCUAGUGUUCAAAAGGUUUCAAAACUUGAUAAUUUUAAUGACCAAUGUGAUUCUUUUGUAAAAUUAACAUUGUAAAGUUAACAGUGUAAAACAAUCAAAUCUGAUAAAAUUUUUAUAGAAAACUCUCUUCACUAUUUAGAGUGUUAUCGGAAUCUUUGAUCUUAAAUUCAAGCCUUUCAUCAUCAUUUUUAUGAGAUUUUUAUUUUCAGCCGUUUAUUUUUGAACUAUUUGUUUGAUAGAUAAAUAAUGUUGAAAAAUUAUGAAAUUUAAUUUUUAAAUAUUUUUAAUAAUAUAGAUUAAGUUUAACGGAGUUGAUCGUCGAUUUAAAAGUCGCAUCAUAAAAAAUAACUUAAUAGCACGGAGUUGUCCAUGUGCUAC
RNAcentral lists this long non-coding RNA (1109 nucleotides) under Ananas comosus (pineapple). RNAcentral describes it as "long non-coding RNA (ACOM_LNC040784)". The record is from RNAcentral. Lineage: Eukaryota; Viridiplantae; Streptophyta; Magnoliopsida; Poales; Bromeliaceae.